This 442-nucleotide ribosomal RNA is filed under the name uncultured bacterium. RNAcentral's name for it is "SSU rRNA". It matches the Rfam family "Bacterial small subunit ribosomal RNA", at positions 26 to 518 of the family's 1533-position model. The record is from RNAcentral.
AGAACGAACGCUGGCGGCAGGCUUAACACAUGCAAGUCGAGCGCCUCGCAAGAGGAGCGGCAGACGGGUGAGUAACACGUGGGAACGUGCCCAAAGGUACGGAACAACUCCGGGAAACUGGAGCUAAUACCGUAUGUGCCCGAAAGGGGAAAGAUUUAUCGCCUUUGGAUCGGCCCGCGUCUGAUUAGCUAGUUGGCGGGGUAAUGGCCCACCAAGGCGACGAUCAGUAGCUGGUCUGAGAGGAUGACCAGCCACAUUGGGACUGAGACACGGCCCAAACUCCUACGGGAGGCAGCAGUGGGGAAUAUUGGACAAUGGGCGCAAGCCUGAUCCAGCCAUGCCGCGUGAGUGAUGAAGGCCUUAGGGUUGUAAAGCUCUUCGCCGAGGACGAUAAUGACGGUACUCGGAUAAGACGCCCGGCUAACUUCGCGCCAGCAGCCGC